AGCGAACUUGGCAGAGAUGCCUUGGUGCCUUCGGGAAGCUGAGACAGGUGCUGCAUGGCUGUCGUCAGCUCGUGUUGUGAAAUGUUGGGUUAAGUCCCGNAACGAGCGCAACCCUUAUCCUUUGUUGCCAGCGAUUCGGUCGGGAACUCAAAGGAGACUGCCGGUGAUAAACCGGAGGAAGGUGGGGAUGACGUCAAGUCAUCAUGGCCCUUACGAGUAGGGCUACGACACGUGCUACAAUGGCGCAUACAAAGAGAAGCGACCUCGCGAGAGCAAGCGGAACCUCAUAAAGUGCGUCGUAGUCCGGAUCGGAGUCUGCAACUCGACUCCGUGAAGUCGGAAUCGCUAGUAAUCGUGGAUCAGAAUGCCACGGUGAAUACGUUCCCGGGCCUUGUACACACCGCCCGUCACACCAUGGGAGUGGGUUGCAAAAGAAGUAGGUAGCUUAACCUUCGGGAGGGCGCUUACCACUUUGUGAUUCAUGACUGGGGUGAAGUCGUAACAAGGUAGGCGUAGCGAG
This 520-nucleotide ribosomal RNA is filed under the name uncultured bacterium. RNAcentral's name for it is "bacterial SSU rRNA". It matches the Rfam family "Bacterial small subunit ribosomal RNA", at positions 990 to 1509 of the family's 1533-position model. The record is from RNAcentral.